ACGGGAGGCAGCAGUGGGGAAUAUUGGGCAAUGGGGGCAACCCUGACCCAGCAACGCCGCGUGAAGGAAGAAGGCUUUCGGGUUGUAAACUUCUUUUAUGUGUGACGAUAGUGACGGUAGCACAUGAAUAAGCCACGGCUAACUACGUGCCAGCAGCCGCGGUAAUACGUAGGUGGCAAGCGUUAUCCGGAUUUACUGGGUGUAAAGGGCGCGUAGGCGGGUCUGCAAGUCAGAUGUGAAAAUUAUCGGCUUAACCGAUAACCUGCAUUUGAAACUGUAGAUCUUGAGUACCGGAGAGGUUGACGGAAUUCCGUGUGUAGCGGUGAAAUGCGUAGAUAUACGGAAGAACACCAGUGGCGAAGGCGGUCAACUGGACGGCAACUGACGCUGAGGCGCGAAAGUGUGGGGAGCAAACAGGAUUAGAUACCCUGGUA
This 434-nucleotide ribosomal RNA is filed under the name uncultured Oscillospiraceae bacterium. RNAcentral's name for it is "bacterial SSU rRNA". It matches the Rfam family "Bacterial small subunit ribosomal RNA", at positions 341 to 792 of the family's 1533-position model. The record is from RNAcentral. Lineage: Bacteria; Bacillati; Bacillota; Clostridia; Eubacteriales; Oscillospiraceae. RNAcentral also lists the same sequence under 1 other name.